This 253-nucleotide ribosomal RNA is filed under the name uncultured bacterium. Its description in RNAcentral is "partial 16S ribosomal RNA". It matches the Rfam family "Bacterial small subunit ribosomal RNA", at positions 524 to 776 of the family's 1533-position model. The record is from RNAcentral.
UACGUAGGUGGCGAGCGUUGUCCGGAAUUACUGGGUGUAAAGCGCGCGUAGGCGGUAGGCCAAGUCUGCUGUGAAAUCGCCCGGCUCAACUGGGCGCGGUCGGUGGAAACUGGUCAACUGGAGGACGGUAGAGGCGAGUGGAAUUCCCGGUGUAGUGGUGAAAUGCGUAGAGAUCGGGAGGAACACCGGUGGCGAAGGCGGCCCGCUGGGCUGUUGCUGACGCUGAGGCGCGACAGCGUGGGGAGCAAACAGG